AGGACGAACGCUGGCGGCGUGCUUAACACAUGCAAGUCGAACGGAAAGGCCCGCUUGCGGGUACUCGAGUGGCGAACGGGUGAGUAACACGUGGGCAACCUGCCCUCAGCUCUGGGAUAACUCCGGGAAACCGGUGCUAAUACUGGAUAUCGACUUCUGCCUCGCAUGGGGUGUUGUUGAAAGUUUUUCGGCUGGGGAUGGGCCCGCGGCCUAUCAGCUUGUUGGUGGGGUGAUGGCCUACCAAGGCGACGACGGGUAGCCGGGCCUGAGAGGGCGACCGGCCACACUGGGACUGAGACAUGGCCCAGACUCCUACGGGAGGCAGCAGUGGGGAAUAUUGCGCAAUGGGCGGAAGCCUGACGCAGCGACGCCGCGUGAGGGAUGACGGCCUUCGGGUUGUAACCGUCUUUCAGCUCUGACGAGCGAGAGUGACGGUAGGAGCGAGAAGAAGCACCGGCCAACUACGUGCCAGCAGCCGCGU
RNAcentral lists this ribosomal RNA (481 nucleotides) under uncultured bacterium. Its description in RNAcentral is "SSU rRNA". It matches the Rfam family "Bacterial small subunit ribosomal RNA", at positions 26 to 520 of the family's 1533-position model. The record is from RNAcentral.